This 267-nucleotide long non-coding RNA is filed under the name Nicotiana benthamiana. RNAcentral describes it as "long non-coding RNA (NBEN_LNC041431)". Lineage: Eukaryota; Viridiplantae; Streptophyta; Magnoliopsida; Solanales; Solanaceae. The record is from RNAcentral.
GGAGCUGUCGAACUCGUUAAAAAUGCUAUAGCUACUAUGCAUCGACUUCGUCAAUAUUGACGUGGAUGAGCUCUUAAAUGUAGCACAAGGAGAUUAAAAAGAUAGAAAGAAGGUUGCCAUAAAGGAAUUUUUCCAACGAGAUCCUUGAUGGACUUUACAGUUAAUUUAUUUAGGAGGAGUGGUGAGAAAAGGUCUUGUCUUUACGAAGAAGGGAGGGGGGAAAGAGAAUUGGGGGUUUUUAUUUGUUAUUCGUAGAAAAGGAAAAAA